GCUAUACACUCUCGUGCGUUGGCUGGCAGGCAGCCUGCCUGCCUGCCUGCCUCCGUGGCGGCUCGAAGGGAGCCUUUGAUCCGAGGGUCCUUGGCACGGUGAAUGGCUCCGGGAUUUCCGUUGAGCUACGGAGCAUAAGGCCGGGACGGGAAAGAAAAAAAAAAACAGUUGAACAGAUAAAUUUUGCACCGAAAUUCGCAGGCUGCUUUUGGUACGAAUGAGGAUGCGGUUAUUCUUGGAAAGAUGAGAGUUUGGUGCAGAAGAAGCGCGAGUCGGGAGCCAGCGAAUCCCACAAACCGGUGAACAGUGAAACGAAGGAG
This is a long non-coding RNA of Venturia canescens, 320 nucleotides long. RefSeq lists it as uncharacterized. Lineage: Eukaryota; Metazoa; Arthropoda; Insecta; Hymenoptera; Ichneumonidae. The record is from RefSeq and is a predicted model, not a curated record. The transcript is spliced from 3 exons.